GAUGAACGCUGGCGGCGUGCCUAAUACAUGCCAGUCGAGCGAACGGACGAGAAGCUUGCUUCUCUGAUGUUAGCGGCGGACGGGUGAGUAACACGUGGAUAACCUACCUAUAAGACUGGGAUAACUUCGGGAAACCGGAGCUAAUACCGUAUAAUAUUUUGAACCGCAUGGUUCAAAAGUGAAAGACGGUCUUGCUGUCACUUAUAGAUGGAUCCGCGCUGCAUUAGCUAGUUGGUAAGGUAACGGCUUACCAAGGCAACGAUGCAUAGCCGACCUGAGAGGGUGAUCGGCCACACUGGAACUGAGACACGGUCCAGACUCCUACGGGAGGCAGCAGUAGGGAAUCUUCCGCAAUGGGCGAAAGCCUGACGGAGCAACGCCGCGUGAGUGAUGAAGGUCUUCGGAUCGUAAAACUCUGUUAUUAGGGAAGAACAUAUGUGUAAGUAACUGUGCACAUCUUGACGGUACCUAAUCAGAAAGCCACGGCUAACUACGUG
RNAcentral lists this ribosomal RNA (497 nucleotides) under uncultured bacterium. RNAcentral's name for it is "partial 16S ribosomal RNA". It matches the Rfam family "Bacterial small subunit ribosomal RNA", at positions 28 to 507 of the family's 1533-position model. The record is from RNAcentral.